GGGGAAUCUUCCGCAAUGGGGGAAACCCUGACGCAGCGACGCCGCGUGGAGGAUGACGGCCUUCGGGUUGUAAACUCCUGUCAGAAGUGAAGAAUGCCCGCAAGGGUUUGACGGUAACUUCAGAGGAAGCCCCGGCUAACUACGUGCCAGCAGCCGCGGUAAUACGUAGGGGGCGAGCGUUGCUCGGAAUUACUGGGCGUAAAGGGUGUGUAGGUGGCUGGAUAAGUCAAAGAUGAAAUCCCGAGGCUCAACUUCGGAAUUGUCUUUGAUACUGUUCAGCUUGAGGAUAGUUGAGGAGAGCGGAAUUCCCGGUGGAGCGGUGAAAUGCGUAGAUAUCGGGAGGAACACCUGAGGCGUAGGCGGUUCUCUAUACUAUUCCUGACACUGAGACACGAAAGCUAGGGGAGCAAAAGGGAUUAGAUACCCCAGUAGUC
Molecule: ribosomal RNA, 434 nt
Filed under: uncultured bacterium
Lineage: Bacteria
Description: SSU rRNA
Rfam family: Bacterial small subunit ribosomal RNA
Source: RNAcentral